CAGCAGCCGCGGUAAUACGUAGGGGGCUAGCGUUGUCCGGAAUUAUUGGGCGUAAAGCGCGCGCAGGCGGUCCCUUAAGUCUGAUGUGAAAGCCCACGGCUCAACCGUGGAGGGUCAUUGGAAACUGGGGGACUUGAGUGCAGAAGAGGAGAGCGGAAUUCCACGUGUAGCGGUGAAAUGCGUAGAGAUGUGGAGGAACACCAGUGGCGAAGGCGGCUCUCUGGUCUGUAACUGACGCUGAGGCGCGAAAGCGUGGGGAGCAAACAGGAUUAUAUACCCUGGUAGUCCACGCCGUAAACGAUGAGUGCUAAGUGUUAGAGGGGUUAAACCCUUUAGUGCUGGAGCUAACGCGUUAAGCACUCCGCCUGGGGAGUACGGCCGCAAGGCUGAAACUUAAAGGAAUUGGCGGG
This 410-nucleotide ribosomal RNA is filed under the name uncultured microorganism. RNAcentral describes it as "bacterial SSU rRNA". It matches the Rfam family "Bacterial small subunit ribosomal RNA", at positions 509 to 917 of the family's 1533-position model. The record is from RNAcentral.